GACGAGCGGCGGACGGGUGAGUAAUGCAUAGGAAUCUGCCCGAUAGUGGGGGAUAACCUGGGGAAACCCAGGCUAAUACCGCAUACGUCCUACGGGAGAAAGGGGGCUUCGGCUCCCGCUAUCGGAUGAGCCUAUGUCGGAUUAGCUAGUUGGUGAGGUAAAGGCUCACCAAGGCAACGAUCCGUAGCUGGUCUGAGAGGAUGAUCAGCCACAUCGGGACUGAGACACGGCCCGAACUCCUACGGGAGGCAGCAGUGGGGAAUAUUGGACAAUGGGGGCAACCCUGAUCCAGCCAUGCCGCGUGUGUGAAGAAGGCCCUCGGGUUGUAAAGCACUUUCAGCGAGGAAGAACGCCUAGCGGUUAAUACCCGCUAGGAAAGACAUCACUCGCAGAAGAAGCACCGGCUAACUCCGUGCCAGCAGCCGCGGUAAUACGGAGGGUGCAAGCGUUAAUCGGAAUUACUGGGCGUAAAGCGCGCGUAGGUGGCUUGAUAAGCCGGUUGUGAAAGCCCCGGGCUCAACCUGGGAACGGCAUCCGGAACUGUCAAGCUAGAGUGCAGGAGAGGAAGGUAGAAUUCCCGGUGUAGCGGUGAAAUGCGUAGAGAUCGGGAGGAAUACCAGUGGCGAAGGCGGCCUUCUGGACUGACACUGACACUGAGGUGCGAAAGCGUGGGUAGCAAACAGGAUUAGAUACCCUGGUAGUCCACGCCGUAGACGAUGUCGACCAGCCGUUGGGUGCCUAGC
Molecule: ribosomal RNA, 743 nt
Filed under: Vreelandella aquamarina
Lineage: Bacteria; Pseudomonadati; Pseudomonadota; Gammaproteobacteria; Oceanospirillales; Halomonadaceae
Description: bacterial SSU rRNA
Rfam family: Bacterial small subunit ribosomal RNA
Source: RNAcentral